Molecule: long non-coding RNA, 298 nt
Organism: Anopheles bellator
Lineage: Eukaryota; Metazoa; Arthropoda; Insecta; Diptera; Culicidae
Exons: 3
Source: RefSeq, a predicted model, not a curated record
ACCACGUUAACCGCGAAACGAAAUCUACUUUGUGAAACCAACAAUGUUUGUUACGAAAUCUGAAACAAUGUUUGCUCUGUAAAGCAAAUCGCUGAUGGCCUCGUGGAUGAAGGUUUUCGCCUCUUAUGCGACGGUUAUAAUGGCACCACGAGUACAAAGGAACUGUACCUGUUCAAUAACUCGUGUGAAAACCCAAGAAAAGGAACGACCAUUUUCGGCGGGCUCGGCAUUCUGAUCAGGUAAGAAUUGACGAUGGCUUUGAAUAGAAAAUUUGAAAAGCAUCAAUGAUGAAUAUGCA